AUCUGUCACAAUAACAUGUUGAAUGCACCAGUUCUCAAUAGUUCACAGAAGUUAAGAAACGUUGAGCGUGGUUGGUAUUUGGAUACACCAAAUGGACAAUCAUGAGCUGCUGGAU
RNAcentral lists this ribosomal RNA (115 nucleotides) under Diaphorina citri (Asian citrus psyllid). Lineage: Eukaryota; Metazoa; Arthropoda; Insecta; Hemiptera; Psyllidae. The record is from RNAcentral.